UAUAGGAGGUCCAGCCUGCCCAGUGACCGCAAGUUUAACGGCCGCGGUAUUUUGACCGUGCAAAGGUAGCGCAAUCACUUGUCUUUUAAAUAAAGACCUGUAUGAAUGGCUAAACGAGGGCUUAACUGUCUCCCCUUUCAAGUCAGUAAAAUUGAUUUAUCCGUGCAGAAGCGGGUAUAGUAAUACAAGACGAGAAGACCCUUUGGAGCUUAAGGCAUAAACUCAAACACGUCAAGAAACUCAAUAAAAAGUAAAUUUAAACCUUGUGUAAAAUGAGCCCACUGCCUUCGGUUGGGGCGACCACGGAGGAAAAGAAAGCCUCCAAGUGGAGUGGGGUUACACCCUAAAACCAAGAGAGACAUCUCUAAGCCACAAAACAUUUGACCACAAAUGAUCCGGCUAACCAUGACCGAUCAACGAACCAAGUUACCCUAGGGAUAACAGCGCAAUCCUCUCUUAAAGUCCAUAUUGACGAGAGGGUUUACGACCUCGAUGUUGGAUCAGGACAUCCUAACGGUGCAGCCGCUGUUAAGGGUUCGUUUGUUCAACGAUUAAAGUCCUACGUGA
Molecule: ribosomal RNA, 567 nt
Filed under: Enteromius trispilos
Lineage: Eukaryota; Metazoa; Chordata; Actinopteri; Cypriniformes; Cyprinidae
Description: partial 16S ribosomal RNA
Rfam family: Bacterial large subunit ribosomal RNA
Source: RNAcentral